RNAcentral lists this long non-coding RNA (1863 nucleotides) under Salmo salar (Atlantic salmon). RNAcentral describes it as "lncRNA (ENSSSAG00000112967.1)". The record is from RNAcentral. Lineage: Eukaryota; Metazoa; Chordata; Actinopteri; Salmoniformes; Salmonidae.
AAAUAACCCAACUCAAACACAUCUAAAGACCGAAUCACACGGAGAGACGCAGUCAACGAUGUCAGAAUUUGCACGAGAGUAGAGAGCGUCAAUUCACAUACACUGUGUAGCGUAUGCUAACUUAACUGUCACGAGAAUCCAUUAGAAAAAGUUGUAUUGGUUAUGUAGCCCUUGUGAAUUAUUGUUGUGUGUUCCUUUUGACUCACAGUGUAUGUCAUACGGGAGCCUGCCUGCCUGCUCACAAAAGUGAAGACAGUUUUUAAAGAAUUCAGACGACACUGAGAAAAUUGUGCGCUGCCCUAUCAACACAGGUAGGCAUAACGUUAUUGUUUUCAAAUACAUAUUAUUGGCACUGGCAGUAUUAUUAUUAUCAACACUAAAUAGACAACUUUUAACUUUACAUGUCACAAUUCCAGACAUAACAAUGCACAAACAGUCUAAUUUGACCUAUGACACCCCAUCUGUUUUCUCUCAUUCACUACCUUGCAUUCUAAUUCCAGCGUGUACACACUCGUUCACGCACAUAAAAAUAUAUGCUUUUUGUUUGUUUUGGGCUUCAGAGUAAAUAUUAUCUGUCAACAUUUUGAUUAGUGUCUCAGCACAACAUGGAAGUGUGAAGUGAUUUGUUUGUUAAAACGUCCGCUGUGUAGAACUGUCACUGUCUAAAGCACUUAUGGAAAUAAUAAAUGUAUCCAUUUCCUUCCUGUGUUUUUACAGCUUGACGUCUAGAUGCUGGCCUUGAUGUCUGUGGAGACACUUGCCUCACAGUUAAAACCAAAAUUGCUUCAAGUGAUUUUUUGCCAAAUUUGAAAUCGGUUGGGUAUAUUUUUACACAUUUGAAAAGAAUGCCUUCCAACGCUAUUAUUAUAAGGGAUGUGUGGUGCACAUAGGAUAGGUAGACACUUCAGCUUUCUACUCAUACACAUUCCUGUAAAACGGAAAAUUAUUCCUGUAAAAUGAAAAAUCGGAGGCUUGGGAGUAUAAGAUUCUAUUUGCAUUUUGGUCAAAAUAUGGUUAUUGAAAUAGCCUUGUUCUGUUCAAUGUUUUCUACCAAUAUAGUACUCUAAAUACCCCAAUGCAUAUUGCUAAAUUUAAAAGACUACAAGCUAAAAAUCGCUGACACCAUUCAAACCAAUGAGGGUUCGGAACUUUAAAAGCUAAUUAACUCAGAAUAAUCUUUUUGCAAAUAGAACCUUAUAGUCCCAAGCUUUCGAAAUGGUGAUGCACAAGCCCUGCACUUUUACAAUGUCUGUGUUCCUAUUGAAAUUUGCACAUGUUUAGAGCAAGCCAUUAGGUAAAAUGUUUUUUUUGGCCUGGUAUAUGUCUGGUUCUGUAAUAGUCAGAUUGUUUCUGACACCUUUAUCAGAAUCCCACAGUUCUUACCUUUCUAACAGUACUAGCAUAUGUUUGUAGGACUUUUAGUUUUUAAAUGUACUUCAUGCAUCAUUUUGAAAAAUCCACCAGAGUUGAACAGGUAUCCACUAUUACUUGACCUUAAGAAACAACAUUACACAUUACAUUUAAGUCAUUUAGCAGACGCUCUUAUCCAGAGCGACUUACAAAUUGGUGCAUUCACCUUAUGAUAUCCAGUGGAACAACCACUUUACAAUAGUGCAUCUAAAUCUUUUAAGGGGGGGGUUAGAAGGAUUACUUUAUCCUAUCCUAGGUAUUCCUUAAAGAGGUGGGGUUUCAGGUGUCUCCGGAAGGUGGUGAUUGACUCCGCUGUCCUGGCGUCGUGAGAGAGCUUGUUCCACCAACAACAAGAAGGACUUGACAGCGUCUACAGAGGAUACAAAGGAGGAGGAGGUGAGCCCUAGGACCAUGCCUCAGGACUACCUGGCCUGAUGCCUCCUGGCUGUCCCC